This is a long non-coding RNA of Cyprinus carpio carpio, 1497 nucleotides long. The record is from Ensembl. NCBI's taxonomy places the organism in Eukaryota, Metazoa, Chordata, Actinopteri, Cypriniformes, Cyprinidae.
AUGCUUAGGAGUCACAACCAGAAGCCACAACUGAACACCAGAUGUAUGAACGGGUCAGUGGGCAAAAGCAGAGGCUCCCUGCCUUUCUGCAGAUGCGCUCUAUUGAGGGGUCGACACGCGGCGGGACGCAGUCCUGAGGAGGGGCCUCUGGCGACCCCCUCCUCCUCUCUAUCACCCUGGAAACCAGCUUUCAGUGGACCAGAGCAGACCAGGGGUGCAAUGACACGGACCCGGAUCCAGAUGAAACCCGAACGGACCUCUGUGUGGCAAAUAAUACCCCAUUUGUACCCAGUUUGUCUGACAUAACAAGAGCCGCCGGCAUCUCCAUGACAGCUCGUCAUGAGAACGAAAGACCUUAUAAACGAGUAUUGUAUCCCACUGUUCUCAUGCACAGACCACACCAGAGACACAACUCACAGACCGUACUGUCCAAACUGUUUACAAACCAAACUUACACUUGUGAGAUGACUAUAUACUUCAAUUUCUAAACCAUUAGUACAAUUUCUUUUAAUCUGGUUAUUUAAUAAUGUAAUAUAAUAUAAUAAUAACUUUAUUUUUCUAUAGCGCCUUUAAAAUAGAAUACAUGAAUAAUAAAAUAAUAAUACAUUCUCUGUAAUUGUUUUGCAAUCUGAACAUAAACAAUAACAGAACAUUUGAGUUCAUCUUAAUUCAAUAAUAUUGCACACUACACAUACUGUGCCUCCAAAAACUGUACGUCAUUGCACCAGACAAGAAAAAAUCAAAACAAGGCACAUCUGCAAACAAAUAACACUAGACCUUUCCUCAGAAGGGAAAAUAAGCAACUAGUUCCAAGUGAUUUUUAGUGAAAGUCUGGCCCUUAGGCGUUAAAUGUGACAUGUUUGACUAGCCUUUAACAACCAGUAAUUGUCCAAAUAUGUUUUUGUCUUAUUAGUGGUGUGCAGUGGUGUUAUGAAAUGAGGAGGCAAAGUCCUCACAGUUGUUGUUUUUUUUUUAUUUAUCAAAUGUAAAUUCAUGUCCCAGUCACAUUUUCUUGCUUAAACAUUACUUAUACUAUCAGAAAAAGAGAAGAAAAAAAAAAUUAUAUUCAAUUUGAUAUUUUUACAUUACCAAUGUAACCAAUAUUCUAUUUAUUAAAGUCAAGGAUCAAUCUCAUCAAGUUAGUGUUUUUAGGCACUUUACAUUUAUUACCACAAUAUUAACUCAAGACAGUAACAAUUUAAAAAACAUAUUUUAUUUGUGAACUUAGGUUCAGCUAUUCUUUUAAAUAGUCAUCUUUUAACUUUUUAUUUUAUUUUUCAAAGCUAGGUAAAUAGCUAUUGGUCACAGACACAGAGAUUUACUGUUAAUUUUACUAAGCUGAUUACUAGCUAAAAACUCCCACAGAUCAUGUUUUCAGUACAUUUAAGUUUUAUUUUGGCAUAACAAAGUGAUUAUAUCUAAGUGUGUGAGUUGUUUACUUACUUUUUAAAAUUAGUCUUCCCAUUAAUGCCAUUAUAUUGUUCAUUCAGACUGAUU